This 519-nucleotide long non-coding RNA is filed under the name Ananas comosus (pineapple). RNAcentral's name for it is "long non-coding RNA (ACOM_LNC041354)". The record is from RNAcentral. Lineage: Eukaryota; Viridiplantae; Streptophyta; Magnoliopsida; Poales; Bromeliaceae.
UUUAUUAAAAUAAUAAAUUGGCUUAAAUUUAAAGUUGGAAUAUCGUUGACCAGCUUAAAUCAAAUAAACUGAAAGAUUAGAUAUUAAAAUUAAAAUUUUGAAAAGGUUGCAUAGCCAAUCUAUAUCUAUACUUCUGUACCUAUACAUUAAUCUUCAAAAGAAAUACCACGUGGCUGUGUUUCCUUCACUGUUGGCUUUCACCUUAUAAAACCAAUCAUUCGCCUUUCCUACGCUCAUAACGUCUAAUUAACACAUCCACCCAACUUAACCCUAUCUAAACCGUAAACUUAAAAAUCCACACAAAAAGCCCAACCCUUUGUCUUCCCUUCACAUAUAAUGUUUAAUUAAUGCGUCCAUCCACCCUAACCCUAAUAUAAUCGUAAAUCAUACAAACUUACACAAAAGCCUCAUUCUCUCCUAUGCAUGUCAUGAGAAUAAAAGACUACUCCUUUUCUAUAAUAAAUUAUAACCUCCUUCAUUUGGCAAAAGAUAUGGCAUCCAUUUAUUUUUUUUCUUUUU